AAUACCCAAUGUGCUCGGUGAUUCGGUUCAUCGAGUAAAGCUCCGGCGCUUCGGGAGAGGCCUGCGGCCCAUCAGCUAGUUGGUAGGGUAACGGCCUACCAAGGCAGAGACGGGUAGGGGGCGUGAGAGCGCGGACCCCCACACUGGCACUGAGAUACGGGCCAGACUCCUACGGGAGGCAGCAGUAAGGGAUAUUGCGCAAUGGACGAAAGUCAGACGCAGCGACGCCGCGUGGGCGAUGAAGGCCUUCGGGUUGUAAAGCCCUUUUAUGGGGGAAGAGAAAAAGGACGGUACCCCAGGAAUAAGUCCCGGCUAACUACGUGCCAGCAGCCGCGGUAAAACGUAGGGGACAAGCGUUAUCCGGAUUCACUGGGCGUAAAGAGCGUUGAGGCGGUUCCGUAAGUUGGGCGUGAAAGCUCCGGGCUUAACUCGGAGAUGUCGUUCAAUACUGCGGGGCUUGAGGACAGCAGAGGAAGGUGGAAUUCCCGGUGUAGUGGUGAAAUGCGUAGAUAUCGGGAGGAACACCCGUGGCGAAGGCGGCCUUCUGGGCUGUUCCUGACGCUGAAGGCGAAAGCUAGGGGAGCGAACGGGAUUAGAUACCCCGGUAGUCCUAGCUGUAAACGAUGGAUGCUGGGUGUGGGGGGUGUAAAUUCCCUCUGUGCCGAAGCAAACGCGUUAAGCAUCCCGCCUGGGGACUACGGCCGCAAGGCUAAAACUCAAACGAAUUGACGGGGGCCCGCACAAGCAGCGGAGCGUGUGGUUUAAUUCGAUGCUACACGAAGAACCUUACCUGGGUUUGACAUGCACGUGGUAGGGAACCGAAAGGGGACCGACCUUCGGGAGCGUGCACAGGUGCUGCAUGGCUGUCGUCAGCUCGUGCCGUGAGGUGUCGGGUUAAGUCCCGUAACGAGCGCAACCCUUGCCCUUAGUUACAAGUGUCUAAGGGGACUGCCCGGGACAACUGGGAGGAAGGUGGGGAUGACGUCAAGUCAGCAUGGCCUUUAUAUCCAGGGCUACACACACGCUACAAUGGCCGGUACAAUAGGUUGCGAAGUCGUGAGGCGGAGCCAAUCCU
This 1075-nucleotide ribosomal RNA is filed under the name uncultured organism. RNAcentral's name for it is "bacterial SSU rRNA". It matches the Rfam family "Bacterial small subunit ribosomal RNA", at positions 165 to 1275 of the family's 1533-position model. The record is from RNAcentral.